Molecule: long non-coding RNA, 975 nt
Filed under: Homo sapiens (human)
Lineage: Eukaryota; Metazoa; Chordata; Mammalia; Primates; Hominidae
Description: HSALNT0235633
Source: RNAcentral
CGCCUGGUAGUGUGGCGUGUCCACAGUGAAGACCAGAGUUUCAUUGUCCUUAAGACUGACCUGGGGAGAUGUGGCUGUAGGCCAUUGAGGAAGGUGAGGCAACAGCUUCCUGUCUGCUCCCCGUGUGCUGAGGAGGGAGUUCUGCCGUGGGCUUUACUUUCACAUGUUAUAUUCCACAAGUCUUGUUUUACAAAAGCAUCCCUUCCUUGAGGCUUCGGCUGCUCAUCGCUGCUCAUCAUCAUAGCGUGCCAUAACAUAUAGUAAGAUUUGGGUUUGUUUCUGGGGAGAUAUCUUGGUAUAGAGAAAGGAGAAAUGCUUAGAGCCACCAUCAGGACAGUUGGGAUGAAAGUUGGGUAUAGGCAGAGGCUGGAGGAAACAUGUGCAUCCCCUGUAAACACUUUUAUUCAUGUUUUAAUUACUCAUUUUUCUUACAGUGUUAAAUUAGUAAAGAUAGUAUUGAAAAAUUGAAAAGUAGGCAUAUUAAAACUUGCAACACUAUUUAAGCCUAGAUAUAUUAUUUGUACCUCAUCAACAUUUUUUAUUGUGUUGAGAAAGUUUAAGGUUAAUUGACAGCAUAUUUCUAAUAGUAGAUAGAAUAACAUCCCUUUUAUAAACAUUGACAUCCUACAUUACAUGUGUGAACCCUGAAAAUCUGAGACAGCUCUCAGAUUUUUUAGAAAGUUUAUUUUGCCAAUCUUGAGGAUGUGCGCCUGUGAUGCCUCCUCAGGAGAUCCUGACAACAUGGGCCCAAGGUGGUCGGGGCACAGCUUGGUUUUAUACACUUUAGGGAGACACGAGAGAUCAAUCAAUACGUGUAAGAUGUACAUUGGUUCAGUCCAGAAAGGUGAGAAGGCCAGACAGGGGGCUUCCAGGUCACAGGUAAGUAAGAGACAAAUGGUUUCAUUCUUUUGCAUUGCUGAUUACCCUCUCCAUGUGAGGCAAUCAGGUAUGCAUUUAUCUAGGUGAUCAGACGGG